UUGUCCAAAAAAUUUUUACUUAAACAAAAUAAACUAUUACUAAUUCUAAAAUAAUGGCGCCGUUAUUCAAUAUUUUCCCGUCCUGCUGUAAGGUUUUUUACAUCUGAUCUUUUGUCCCCAUCACUUUUCAACACAAACUGACGCCCCUGAUGUUACCGCUCACAAUGCUGUACAUAAAUGUAUAUGAACAUAACAGAUUGUAUUUAUUCAAUAUGCUGUCUGUCACUAGUAGCACCUUUCACCACAUAACAUUCAGAGUAUGUGUAAAUGUAAUAAGCAAACGAAGGCGCUGCCGAUUUUGGUGGAUUCCUUUCCUCUGGGUGGCCAGUACAAACACGCACAGACUCACUACUUAUAAGGCACGCUGGCUUCCCCUUUAUUUUCACAUGCCCGCUCGGGACGGAGACUUCCUUCUCAGGAUAGGAUGCACCAAUUCUCUGGGAAUUAAGCACUUUUCAAACACAGGGCACGAUGACUGCAAUGACGUAGCAACAUUCUACUGAAAACAAUGGCCGUUUAUCAUUCCGCGUUUUUGUCCGUGCUUGUGUUCUUGUAAACUCGUUUGACGUCAUCUUUCAUUGCCCAAGUACGGUUCCAAUCCAAAGAACGCAAGUUACCAAAACGACCGGAUGGUUUACUUGAUUCGACUCUUUUAUCGAGAACGCUUAUGAUAUCCUAGAAUUCAUUUCAAGAUGUCAGGAGAGCAGGAAAAGCAUACGGUUGCGCAAUAGCCAAAUACACAUGCCUCUCAAUCUAGGUAGGUGCGUUCUCUGUCCUCGCGUUCUUGCAAGACCAUACUCUUAAGGACGCUUGGCAAGAACGUUCUACUGAACGUACGUUCUUAGCGUACUUUGAAUUGAUAAACGGCCAAUAUUUAUUCUCCCUGGUGGAAUUAAGAAAGGUCAUAGAGAUGAAUCCCAGCAGAGGCUUUUGUUUUUCCCAUUCAAUAGUACAUGGAGGAAUUGUGGGGAAACAAUGAAAACCAGUAAUAAAACGAAGUAUCAUAUAAUGAAAAACAGUAAAUUAUAAACCGUUCACCGUUAGGCAUGGUUAACUGGCCCAUUAAACCACUCUUGACAGAAAAUGUUUUGUCGCCAGUGCUUCCAACUACUGCCGUGUGACAGAGACUCGGGAGAUAGCACCAGAAUCAUUUGUCAAUGAAUAAUUAUCAGUGUCCUCAUCCCUCUUUUGGAGUCCAGCUAGCAUAAAGACCAGUUUAUCUCAGUAGAUUUGUUCGUGAAUAGACACUUUUCUCCCAUUUCAUUCCAACUACCCUGGACAUUUGUUUCCAUCUCUUACAAGUGGGAAACUUAACCCCAUCAGAAACUUAACCCCAAGUAGCUUUCCAUGGAACCUGUCCCCCGGAUGGCCUGGAGAUGUGUGUCUGUGUGAGGACUGGUGCAGUGGAGCCCCAACGGCCGGCUGUGUGAAAACGGCGCCACCUGUUGCCCAGUCUGGAACAGCUUGUGCUAUCUCGACAUUAUCGGAGUGUGUAUAGACUGCGCACACUGUUUUGUCCCCUCUAGGCCCCCUAAAACUCAUCCCCGCCCGGUAAAGCUCACAUAUGACAUCAGUUUGACAGGCCCAUACAUUUUUUGUCUAUUAAACAGAUUACAGGAUCAGAUAGAAUAGAUAUUUUGUCAUCUACAUUGUGGCCUGACAGGACAGAAAUAAGCUGUUCUUUGAGAUAGGGUGAGAAUUCUGCCCUGUCAAAGACACUGAUCUAGAUCAUUUGUAUUUGACCAUAAUCAAGUUCAUGACUAUGACUGAAAGACACAUCUCCCCCUAGACCGCUGGUCCUUGGGGAAACUGUAGAGCGUGAAUUAGGACUGGAACAGAGUACGACUUCACCUGGAAGAGUCAGGUGAGGCUCAUCCUUGUCAAAAUUGGCGUGACAAUUUUGACAAGAAUUGUCUGUUGGAUUUUGCACGAUUGUCCUCUUCACAGCACCCCUGGUGUGUUCAGAGCACAGCCAGGGCCAGGAUGGAGAACCGCGAGUCCUUUGCAUUCUUCCACUCCCACAGUCCAAACAGACAACGUUUAGGGGUCCUUUAGAUGAACGAGUCUCCAGACUGCCUCCUCAUCACCAGACUGCCUCCUCAUCACCAGAAUGCCUCCUCAUCACCAGACUGCCUCCUCAUCACCAGAAUGCCUCCUCAUCACCAGAAUGCCUCCUCAUCACCAGAAUGCCUCCUUGUGGGCAAUGUCUGCAUUUAUCCUCUUCUUGUUUUUAACAUUUAUUUUGCCAGAUAGGUGUGCAAAGAACACAUUCUUACUUACAGCAACGACCUGGGAGCAAACAGAGUUAACUGUUUCCUUCAGGAACCGAACAGAAUAGUUUUUCACCUUGUUGGUUCCAGGAUGCAGAAAAAACUUUCCAUGUCAAAAAAGUAUUUCAAUACAGAACGCCAAUGAUUAUAAAAUUCAAUUUCUGACAGAAACCGGGCACUCUCAAUACACAAUCACUCAAAAUAAAUAAAAAGAUCAACAUUCAUGACACAAAAACACAAAAAUCCCUCUUCAAUUCAUUGGGCAUUCAUACAGUUUGAGUCAUUCAGCACCAAACAGAUAAACACUGAAUGAUACAGGUGGCAUCUUCCAGUUGCAUUGUGUGGCCAAAUGAACAGGACCCAGUCAAACUGGCCUGGUCCAUUAGUCAGGCUCCAUGUCCAGAACCAAAGACGGGAACUGUACCCCUCCCUCUGUGAGCAGGGAGUAAAUGUCCCGGAGCGCAGUGGGGUUGGGAGGUCCAGGGGAGGACAGCGUAACCAUAGUAUCAGACAAAGCCUGUCAGAGGAACAGAACAUUAACAAGCAGAACCCAAACAUCUAUAUAUUGACAUUAACACACAUCACAACACACGUCUUACAUUUGGUGGUAGUGGUACCUCCUACCUGUUACAGGUGUGUGUGAGAGACAGGUGGUGGUAUCUCCUACCUGUUACAGGUGUGUGUGAGAGACAGGUGGUGGUAUCUCCUACCUGUUACAGGUGUGUGUGAGAGACAGGUGAUGGUGCCUCCUACCUGUUACAGGUGUGUGUGAGAGACAGGUGAUGGUGCCUCCUACCUGUUACAGGUGUGUGUGAGAGACAGGUGGUGGUAUCUCCUACAUGUUACAGGUGUGUGUGAGAGACAGGUGGUGGUAUCUCCUACCUGUUACAGGUGUGUGUGAGAGACAGGUGAUGGUGCCUCCUACCUGUUACAGGUGUGUGUGUGAGACAGGUGAUGGUGCCUCCUACCUGUUACAGGUGUGUGUGUGAGAGACAGGUGAUGGUGCCUCCUACCUGUUACAGGUCUGUGCGAGAGACAGUGAGGGUGUCUCUUACCUGUUGCAGUUGCACCUCCUGCUGCAUCAGUUCCACCCGUAGCCUUAGCCUCUCCACCUCCUGAAGCUCUGCCUGAGAGGUGUAGAUGAGGGUUGGGGGGAGUAGGGUCAGUCCACAUGGGUCCCCCCACCCGCCUCUUCUCCUGACGGUGCAGAACUCUCCAACCCCUUCCGGCCUCCUCCAGUGAUCCCAUGCCUCUGACUCU
Molecule: long non-coding RNA, 3530 nt
Organism: Esox lucius (northern pike)
Lineage: Eukaryota; Metazoa; Chordata; Actinopteri; Esociformes; Esocidae
Source: Ensembl